Molecule: long non-coding RNA, 489 nt
Filed under: Mustela putorius furo (domestic ferret)
Lineage: Eukaryota; Metazoa; Chordata; Mammalia; Carnivora; Mustelidae
Description: lncRNA (ENSMPUG00000030770.1)
Source: RNAcentral
AAGUGAUUUUAAUAGUUUUAAUUUUAAAUGUUAUUCCCCCUUACCAAUUUCAUAUUUUUAUCCUUAGAUCUUGAGGCAGCCCUGGAGGUGUGCCAGUUGGAUCCCCCUUCAAGAAUGUAAUUGCUGUGUAGAUACAAGGAGUGCAGAGAGCUGCCAACCUCCAGCUGUAACACCUGCUGGAUCAGUCUGAGUUUCAAGCUGAGGCCAUUCUCUUCCUGAAUAGCUUCCCUCCGAGAGUGUACAAUGGUGGAGGAAUUAGGACCAAGUCGUUUCUACCCAAUGUGAGAAUCAUCUAACAAUGAUGAAUAGGAUGGCCAUCAAAAUUGCUGGUUGAAUGUCACAUAGAAGCCUAGGGAAAGUAAUGUCCCCUGCUGGGGAGGAACACCUGCCUCAUGGCCCUUGGCUAGUAAUCUGUCUUUCAUCAAAAGCAGUAAAGGUAAACAAACUUCUUAUGUAGAGUUUAGAAAAUGCAGAUCUCAAAAUGUAAGU